GGGUUGUGAGGUUAAGCGACUAAGCGUACACGGUGGAUGCCCUGGCAGUCAGAGGCGAUGAAGGACGUGCUAAUCUGCGAUAAGCGUCGGUAAGGUGAUAUGAACCGUUAUAACCGGCGAUUUCCGAAUGGGGAAACCCAGUGUGUUUCGACACACUAUCAUUAACUGAAUCCAUAGGUUAAUGAGGCGAACCGGGGGAACUGAAACAUCUAAGUACCCCGAGGAAAAGAAAUCAACCGAGAUUCCCCCAGUAGCGGCGAGCGAACGGGGAGCAGCCCAGAGCCUGAAUCAGUAUGUGUGUUAGUGGAAGCGUCUGGAAAGGCGCGCGAUACAGGGUGACAGCCCCGUACACAAAAAUGCACAUGCUGUGAGCUCGAUGAGUAGGGCGGGACACGUGGUAUCCUGUCUGAAUAUGGGGGGACCAUCCUCCAAGGCUAAAUACUCCUGACUGACCGAUAGUGAACCAGUACCGUGAGGGAAAGGCGAAAAGAACCCCGGCGAGGGGAGUGAAAAAGAACCUGAAACCGUGUACGUACAAGCAGUGGGAGCACGCUUAGGCGUGUGACUGCGUACCUUUUGUAUAAUGGGUCAGCGACUUAUAUUCUGUAGCAAGGUUAACCGAAUAGGGGAGCCGAAGGGAAACCGAGUCUUAACUGGGCGUUAAGUUGCAGGGUAUAGACCCGAAACCCGGUGAUCUAGCCAUGGGCAGGUUGAAGGUUGGGUAACACUAACUGGAGGACCGAACCGACUAAUGUUGAAAAAUUAGCGGAUGACUUGUGGCUGGGGGUGAAAGGCCAAUCAAACCGGGAGAUAGCUGGUUCUCCCCGAAAGCUAUUUAGGUAGCGCCUCGUGAAUUCAUCUCCGGGGGUAGAGCACUGUUUCGGCAAGGGGGUCAUCCCGACUUACCAACCCGAUGCAAACUGCGAAUACCGGAGAAUGUUAUCACGGGAGACACACGGCGGGUGCUAACGUCCGUCGUGAAGAGGGAAACAACCCAGACCGCCAGCUAAGGUCCCAAAGUCAUGGUUAAGUGGGAAACGAUGUGGGAAGGCCCAGACAGCCAGGAUGUUGGCUUAGAAGCAGCCAUCAUUUAAAGAAAGCGUAAUAGCUCACUGGUCGAGUCGGCCUGCGCGGAAGAUGUAACGGGGCUAAACCAUGCACCGAAGCUGCGGCAGCGACGCUUAUGCGUUGUUGGGUAGGGGAGCGUUCUGUAAGCCUGUGAAGGUGUGCUGUGAGGCAUGCUGGAGGUAUCAGAAGUGCGAAUGCUGACAUAAGUAACGAUAAAGCGGGUGAAAAGCCCGCUCGCCGGAAGACCAAGGGUUCCUGUCCAACGUUAAUCGGGGCAGGGUGAGUCGACCCCUAAGGCGAGGCCGAAAGGCGUAGUCGAUGGGAAACAGGUUAAUAUUCCUGUACUUGGUGUUACUGCGAAGGGGGGACGGAGAAGGCUAUGUUGGCCGGGCGACGGUUGUCCCGGUUUAAGCGUGUAGGCUGGUUUUCCAGGCAAAUCCGGAAAAUCAAGGCUGAGGCGUGAUGACGAGGCACUACGGUGCUGAAGCAACAAAUGCCCUGCUUCCAGGAAAAGCCUCUAAGCAUCAGGUAACAUCAAAUCGUACCCCAAACCGACACAGGUGGUCAGGUAGAGAAUACCAAGGCGCUUGAGAGAACUCGGGUGAAGGAACUAGGCAAAAUGGUGCCGUAACUUCGGGAGAAGGCACGCUGAUAUGUAGGUGAAGUCCCUCGCGGAUGGAGCUGAAAUCAGUCGAAGAUACCAGCUGGCUGCAACUGUUUAUUAAAAACACAGCACUGUGCAAACACGAAAGUGGACGUAUACGGUGUGACGCCUGCCCGGUGCCGGAAGGUUAAUUGAUGGGGUCAGCGCAAGCGAAGCUCUUGAUCGAAGCCCCGGUAAACGGCGGCCGUAACUAUAACGGUCCUAAGGUAGCGAAAUUCCUUGUCGGGUAAGUUCCGACCUGCACGAAUGGCGUAAUGAUGGCCAGGCUGUCUCCACCCGAGACUCAGUGAAAUUGAACUCGCUGUGAAGAUGCAGUGUACCCGCGGCAAGACGGAAAGACCCCGUGAACCUUUACUAUAGCUUGACACUGAACAUUGAGCCUUGAUGUGUAGGAUAGGUGGGAGGCUUUGAAGUGUGGACGCCAGUCUGCAUGGAGCCGACCUUGAAAUACCACCCUUUAAUGUUUGAUGUUCUAACGUUGACCCGUAAUCCGGGUUGCGGACAGUGUCUGGUGGGUAGUUUGACUGGGGCGGUCUCCUCCUAAAGAGUAACGGAGGAGCACGAAGGUUGGCUAAUCCUGGUCGGACAUCAGGAGGUUAGUGCAAUGGCAUAAGCCAGCUUGACUGCGAGCGUGACGGCGCGAGCAGGUGCGAAAGCAGGUCAUAGUGAUCCGGUGGUUCUGAAUGGAAGGGCCAUCGCUCAACGGAUAAAAGGUACUCCGGGGAUAACAGGCUGAUACCGCCCAAGAGUUCAUAUCGACGGCGGUGUUUGGCACCUCGAUGUCGGCUCAUCACAUCCUGGGGCUGAAGUAGGUCCCAAGGGUAUGGCUGUUCGCCAUUUAAAGUGGUACGCGAGCUGGGUUUAGAACGUCGUGAGACAGUUCGGUCCCUAUCUGCCGUGGGCGCUGGAGAACUGAGGGGGGCUGCUCCUAGUACGAGAGGACCGGAGUGGACGCAUCACUGGUGUUCGGGUUGUCAUGCCAAUGGCACUGCCCGGUAGCUAAAUGCGGAAGAGAUAAGUGCUGAAAGCAUCUAAGCACGAAACUUGCCCCGAGAUGAGUUCUCCCUGACUCCUUGAGAGUCCUGAAGGAACGUUGAAGACGACGACGUUGAUAGGCCGGGUGUGUAAGCGCAGCGAUGCGUUGAGCUAACCGGUACUAAUGAACCGUGAGGCUUAACCUUACAACGCCGAAG
RNAcentral lists this ribosomal RNA (2925 nucleotides) under Escherichia coli. RNAcentral describes it as "23S ribosomal RNA". It matches the Rfam family "Bacterial large subunit ribosomal RNA". The record is from RNAcentral. Lineage: Bacteria; Pseudomonadati; Pseudomonadota; Gammaproteobacteria; Enterobacterales; Enterobacteriaceae.